RNAcentral lists this non-coding RNA (45 nucleotides) under Schistosoma mattheei. The record is from RNAcentral. Lineage: Eukaryota; Metazoa; Platyhelminthes; Trematoda; Strigeidida; Schistosomatidae.
AUCCGACUGACGAGUCCUGAGUAGGACGAAACGCGCGUUCUUGAU